This 482-nucleotide ribosomal RNA is filed under the name uncultured bacterium. Its description in RNAcentral is "bacterial SSU rRNA". It matches the Rfam family "Bacterial small subunit ribosomal RNA", at positions 29 to 485 of the family's 1533-position model. The record is from RNAcentral.
AACUAACGCUGGCGGCGUGCCUAACACAUGCAAGUCGUACGAGAAAGUUGGCUUCGGCCGAUGAGUACAGUGGCGCACGGGUGAGUAACGCGUGGAUAAUCUGCCCUUAAGUGUGGAAUAACGUACCGAAAGGUGCGCUAAUACCGCAUAAUGCCUGGCAACAUAAGUUGUCCGGCCAAAGAAGGCCUCUGCUUGCAAGCUUUCGCUAAAAGGAUGAGUCCGCGUACCAUUAGCUAGUUGGUGGGGUAACGGCCUACCAAGGCGACGAUGGUUAGCUGGUCUGAGAGGAUGAUCAGCCACACUGGAACUGAGACACGGUCCAGACUCCUACGGGAGGCAGCAGUGAGGAAUAUUGCGCAAUGGGGGCAACCCUGACGCAGCAACGCCGCGUGAGUGAGGAAGGUUUUCGGACUGUAAAGCUCUGUCGAGCGGGAAGAAGUGUACCAUGGCUAAUAUCCAUGAUAUUUGACGGUACCGCUAGA